GGGCCGCUAGCUCAUCAGGUAGAGCACCUGCCUUUUAAGCAGGGUGUGUCAGGUUCGAGUCCUGAGCGGCCUACCA
Molecule: transfer RNA, 76 nt
Filed under: Muiribacterium halophilum (SeqCode)
Lineage: Bacteria; Candidatus Muiribacteriota; Muiribacteriia (SeqCode); Muiribacteriaceae (SeqCode)
Description: bacterium BM706 tRNA-Lys
Rfam family: tRNA
About the family: Transfer RNA (tRNA) molecules are approximately 80 nucleotides in length. Their secondary structure includes four short double-helical elements and three loops (D, anti-codon, and T loops).
Source: RNAcentral